RNAcentral lists this ribosomal RNA (1441 nucleotides) under Pseudomonas sp. EGY-SOJ2. Its description in RNAcentral is "bacterial SSU rRNA". It matches the Rfam family "Bacterial small subunit ribosomal RNA". The record is from RNAcentral. Lineage: Bacteria; Pseudomonadati; Pseudomonadota; Gammaproteobacteria; Pseudomonadales; Pseudomonadaceae.
AGGGCGCAGCUUAAACAUGCAAGUCGAGCGGAUUUUGGAACUGGCUCCCUGAUUCGUCGGUGGACGGGGAAUACUGCCUAUGACUCUGCCUGGUUUGGGGGACUUGUUUCGAACCGAACGCUGUCCCCCCAGACAUCCAACUGGAGAAAGUGGGGGAUCUUCCGACCUAAUACUUUCUUAUGAGCCUAAAUGCCAAUCACUGCUACGAGACGUAAAUGCUCACCAAGGCUAAUAUCCCUAACUGGUCUGAAAAGACGAUCCAUACUCCUGGAGCUGACACCCGUGCGGAACUCCGACCGGAGGCCGCAAUGCGGAACAUUGCACGCCGGGCGAAUGCCGGAUCCCUCCAUGCCGCGUGUGUCAAUAACGUCUUCAGAUUGUGACGCACUUUAGAUUGGAAGGAACGGCAAUAUUUUAAUACCUUGCUGUUUUGACAUUACCGGGGCAAUAGUUGUUCGCAUUUUUCGUGCCUACAGCCCCGGUAAUACGACUGGUGCAUCCGUUGUGAAAACUUACAGGUCAUAUCUCGAACUGACGUUGAUCCUGAAAUUCUAUGUUAUAGCCCAGGUCUCUGCCUGUCAAAUGCAUCCGGUACUGUUCAGCUAUAUUAUGACAAACGGUGGUGGAAUUUCCUGUGUAGCGGACAAAUGCGUACACUGAGGUGCGAACACCGUGUGGCGAAGGCGACCACCUGUACUCUGACUGACACUGAGGUGCGAAAGCGUGGUGAGCAAACAGGAUUAUAUACCCUGGUAGUCCACGCCGUAGCAAUAUCGACUAGCCUGGGGAUCCUUGAGAUCUUAUUGACGCAACUAGAGCUGAAGUCGACCCGCCUGAGGGAGUACGAGCCGCAGGUUAAUUCUCAAAUGACAUUGCACGAGCGUCUCGCACAAGUUGACGGAGCAUGUCGCUUUACACUACAGAUGAGCUCUUUAGAAUCUUACCGGGCCGUAGACAUGCAGAUAACUUUCGUAGAUGGAUUGGUGCUUCGAGUAACGCUUACACACGUGCUGCAAGGCUAUCGUCAGCUCUUGUUGUGCAAAAUGUGGGUGAGUCCCGUAACGAACUCACACGUGAUACCUAGUAGCAAGGCUCGGUAAGGUCGGCAGUCUAAGAAGACUGCCCGUGACAAACCGGAGGAAGGUGGGGAUGAAGUCAAGUUCUCAUGGCCCUUACGGCGUGGGGUACCCAACUGGUACAAUGGUCGGUACCAAGGGGCGGCAAGCCGGGAGGUGCAGGUUAUUCCAUAAAACCCAUCUUAGUUCGGAUUGCACUCUGCAACUCGAGUGCAUGAAGUCGGAAUCGCUAGUAAUCGUGAAUCAGAAUGUCACGGUGAAUACGUUCCCGGGCCUUGUACACACCGCCCGUCACACCAUGGGAGUGGGUGCUCCAGAAGCGCUAGUUUAACGUAAGGAGGCCGGUACCACUGUAGUACCAUUGG